ACUCAAAGGAAUAGACGGGGGCCCGCACAAGCGGUGGAGCAUGUGGUUUAAUUCGACGCAACGCGAAGAACCUUACCUGGGUUGGAACCCUCUGGAAUCCCCUAGAGAUAGGGGAGUGCUCUUCGGAGAAUCAGAUGUCCAGGUGCUGCAUGGCUGUCGUCAGCUCGUGUCGUGAGAUGUUGGGUUAAGUCCCGCAACGAGCGCAACCCUUGUCCUUAGUUGCCAGCAUUCAGUUGGGCACUCUAAGGAGACCGCCGGUGUUAAACCGGAGGAAGGUGGGGAUGACGUCAAGUCCUCAUGGCCCUUAUGCCCAGGGCUACACACGUGCUACAAUGGCGACUACAAAGGGCUGCGAAGCCGCAAGGUGAAGCUAAUCCCAAAAAAGUCGCCUCAGUUCGGAUAGUCGUCUGCAACUCGACGACUUGAAGCCGGAAUCGCUAGUAAUCGCUGAUCAGCAGGCAGCGGUGAAUACGUUCCCGGGCCUUGUACACACCGCCCGU
This 500-nucleotide ribosomal RNA is filed under the name uncultured bacterium. Its description in RNAcentral is "partial 16S ribosomal RNA". It matches the Rfam family "Bacterial small subunit ribosomal RNA", at positions 899 to 1397 of the family's 1533-position model. The record is from RNAcentral.